UACGGGGGGGGCAAGCGUUGUUCGGAAUUACUGGGCGUAAAGGGUUUGUAGGUGGCUUGCUAAGUCAGACGUGAAAUCCCUCAGCUUAACUGGGGAACUGCGUCUGAGACUGGCAAGCUUGAGUGCAGGAGAGGAACGCGGAAUUCCAGGUGUAGCGGUGAAAUGCGUAGAUAUCUGGAGGAACACCGGUGGCGAAAGCGGGUACCUGGGCCAUUCUUGACGCUGAGGCGCGAAAGCGAGGGGAGCAAACGGG
Molecule: ribosomal RNA, 253 nt
Filed under: uncultured bacterium
Lineage: Bacteria
Description: partial 16S ribosomal RNA
Rfam family: Bacterial small subunit ribosomal RNA
Source: RNAcentral